Molecule: ribosomal RNA, 109 nt
Filed under: Uronychia setigera
Lineage: Eukaryota; Ciliophora; Spirotrichea; Euplotida; Uronychiidae
Also listed under: 1 other name
Description: 5.8S ribosomal RNA
Rfam family: 5.8S ribosomal RNA
About the family: 5.8S ribosomal RNA (5.8S rRNA) is a component of the large subunit of the eukaryotic ribosome. It is transcribed by RNA polymerase I as part of the 45S precursor that also contains 18S and 28S rRNA. Functionally, it is thought that 5.8S rRNA may be involved in ribosome translocation.
Source: RNAcentral
CUAAAAUCUCAACGAUGGAUAUCUUGGCUCCCACUACGAUGAAGAACGCAGCGAAGUGCGAUAAGCAAUGCGAAUUGCAGAACCGUGAAUCAUUAGAAUUUUGAACGCA